UACGUAGGGGGCGAGCGUUGUCCGGAUUUAUUGGGCGUAAAGAGCUCGUAGGCGGUUUGGUAAGUCGGGUGUGAAAUCUCCACGCUCAACGUGGAGGGGCCACUCGAUACUGCCAUGACUCGAGUCCGGUAGAGGAGCGUGGAAUUCCUGGUGUAGCGGUGAAAUGCGCAGAUAUCAGGAGGAACACCAGCGGCGAAGGCGGCGCUCUGGGCUGGAACUGACGCUGAGGAGCGAAAGCGUGGGGAGCGAACAGG
RNAcentral lists this ribosomal RNA (254 nucleotides) under uncultured bacterium. RNAcentral describes it as "partial 16S ribosomal RNA". It matches the Rfam family "Bacterial small subunit ribosomal RNA", at positions 524 to 776 of the family's 1533-position model. The record is from RNAcentral.